This 28-nucleotide non-coding RNA is filed under the name Rattus norvegicus (Norway rat). The record is from RNAcentral. Lineage: Eukaryota; Metazoa; Chordata; Mammalia; Rodentia; Muridae.
UAGGUGAUUCUCCCUGCCACAACCUGAC